ACGUCGACCGGCGCACGGGUGAGUAAACGCGUAUCCAACCUGCCCUUUACUUGGGGAUAACCCGUUGAAAGACGGACUAAUACCCAAUGAUAUUCAUUGAUGACAUCUGAUUUGAAUUAAAGAUUUAUCGGUAUAGGAUGGGGAUGCGUCUGAUUAGCUUGUUGGUGAGGUAACGGCUCACCCAAGGCAACGAUCAGUAGGGGUUCUGAGAGGAAGGUCCCCCACAUUGGAACUGAGACACGGUCCAAACUCCUACGGGAGGCAGCAGUGAGGAAUAUUGGUCAAUGGACGAGAGUCUGAACCAGCCAAGUAGCGUGCAGGAUGACGGCCCUAUGGGUUGUAAACUGCUUUUGUUUGGGAAUAAUCGACAUUACGUGUAAUGUUUUGCAUGUACCAUUCGAAUAAGGACCGGCUAAUUCCGUGCCAGCAGCCGCGGUAAU
This 440-nucleotide ribosomal RNA is filed under the name uncultured Prevotella sp. Its description in RNAcentral is "bacterial SSU rRNA". It matches the Rfam family "Bacterial small subunit ribosomal RNA", at positions 88 to 524 of the family's 1533-position model. Lineage: Bacteria; Pseudomonadati; Bacteroidota; Bacteroidia; Bacteroidales; Prevotellaceae. The record is from RNAcentral.